This 84-nucleotide transfer RNA is filed under the name Candidatus Ureaplasma intestinipullorum. RNAcentral describes it as "tRNA-Leu". It matches the Rfam family "tRNA". Rfam says of the family: Transfer RNA (tRNA) molecules are approximately 80 nucleotides in length. The record is from RNAcentral. Lineage: Bacteria; Bacillati; Mycoplasmatota; Mycoplasmoidales; Mycoplasmoidaceae.
GCACAUGUGGCGGAACUGGCAGACGCGUCAGACUUAGGAUCUGAUUCUUAACGAGUGGGGGUUCGAGUCCCUUCAUGUGCACCA